GUCUUCUUUUUUCUCAAAUCUUCAUUUUUCAGCCCCAAAAAAGGCCAAAUAAAAAACCAUCAUAACCGUCGAAUUGAAAAUAAAAUAAAAAUCCUGAGCGCAAAAAAAAAAAACCUGACGAAAAAGAAAAAACCAGAGCGCAAAAAAAUAAUCCAUCUUCACCCAUGGAGGGCUCCGCGCAGACUGAGCUCUGCAGGGCGGGGGAAGGCUUAUAAAGCCUUGCCA
This 225-nucleotide long non-coding RNA is filed under the name Pelobates cultripes (western spadefoot toad). Lineage: Eukaryota; Metazoa; Chordata; Amphibia; Anura; Pelobatidae. The record is from RNAcentral.